GCCUGGGUAGCUCAGCGGUUAAGCGUCCGACUUUGGCUCAGGUCAUGAUCUCGCAGUUUGUGGGUUCGAGCCCCACGUCGGGCU
RNAcentral lists this transfer RNA (84 nucleotides) under Felis catus (domestic cat). It matches the Rfam family "tRNA". Rfam says of the family: Transfer RNA (tRNA) molecules are approximately 80 nucleotides in length. Their secondary structure includes four short double-helical elements and three loops (D, anti-codon, and T loops). The record is from Rfam by way of RNAcentral. Lineage: Eukaryota; Metazoa; Chordata; Mammalia; Carnivora; Felidae.